This is a non-coding RNA of Malus domestica (apple), 1475 nucleotides long. Lineage: Eukaryota; Viridiplantae; Streptophyta; Magnoliopsida; Rosales; Rosaceae. The record is from RefSeq and is a predicted model, not a curated record.
UUAUUGGAAGAAUUUGCUAUAUAUCUCCUUACAACCACACUGCGUUGUACUACUCAUCUCCUCAGGGUUCUCAAGGCUAGCUACUUCACAGUUUUUGGGUCCCUUAAGUAGAAUUUUCCAUGUUUCGCACAAACCCUAGUUGUUAAUUUCUUUAUAUUUUUGUUCUUAAGUUAAUUACUUUGGGAUUUGAAGAGUUUAGAGCUCGUUUGAUAACCAUUUCAGUUUUCAGGUUUUCAGACUUGAAGAGUUUAGUGUGCGAAAUGGAUAAUUUGUAUAGUAUGAUUUGUGAGAAUAAUGGAGUUGUAAGGGCAAAUAAGAGAGGGUAUGUUGCAGCUGAAGACAAAAAGCUGGAGCUGAGGCUGGGUCCUCCUGGAGGAGAAGAUCAUCAGUCACUUCUUUCCCUUGGUUGCUGCAACAAGAACAAUAUUUCUCAUGAAGCCAAAAGAGUCUGUCAUGAAGAGAAAAAAGAAGAGAGAAAGUGGCUGGCAAACAGCUCAUCAGAUCCUCCAGCAAGUGCUUUUGAGCUUACAAAUUCAACAGCAGCUCGUGACUCUGAUCAGAAAAGUAAAAGCAGAAUUGCACAAGCUCCAGUUGUCGGAUGGCCUCCGAUCCGUUCAUCCAGGAAAAAUCUUGCAAUCAGAUCAUCACCAUCAAGCUUCGCAAAGCCGGCAGCUGAUUCGGAGUCACCAAAUGAAACUUUGAAGGAGGGAAACGGAAAAUCUGAUAGUACUACUUAUUCCAAGGACCACAUGUUUGUAAAGAUCAACAUGGAAGGAGUUCCCAUUGGAAGAAAAAUUAACCUCAAAGCCUAUGAUAGUUAUGAGAAACUCUCUUUUGCCAUAGAUGAACUCUUCCAAGGUCUUCUUGCAGCUCAAAGAACUUGUUGUGGUGUGGAGAAAGAAGACAAGAAGGGAGAGACCAAAUCAAUAACUGAAUCAUUACAUGGCAAUGGGAAAUAUACUCUACUUUAUGAGGAUAAUGAAGGAGACAGGAUGCUUGUUGGUGAUGUCCCAUGGAAGUAAGCAGUCCAAUACCAACUUUACUAAAUAAAAUUGCAUGUUUGUAUCGACGGCAAAGAGGCUUCAGGUAUUGAAGAGCUCACAGCUUUCCACUCUACAGCUUAGUAGCAAUCAGCGUGAAAAGACACCACUUGAUUCUACAAUGGAAGUUGGAAUUGGAAGAUGAGGCUAUAAUAAGUGGAGGAAUUCCCAUACAUGCGAUGACACGAAGCUCUACAUAAUUUAGGGUUUCCAUCAAGUUUUCUUUUCUUUUUUUCCUCUCUUUAAUGGCCUAAUUAAAUCUUGUAUAUUAAGGGUGUUAAAGAUCACUUUCAUUUUCUGUUUUCUGUAUCUCCUUUUCUUGUUCAAAUGUUCAGGUUUACACCCUUUUGGGGCUUUUGUAAAAAGAAUUGUUCCCAAGUCAUAAUACGUUUGUCACUUAGUACUACAGUCUAAUGGUAUUUUUCUUCAUUUAUA